This 732-nucleotide ribosomal RNA is filed under the name uncultured Bacilli bacterium. Its description in RNAcentral is "bacterial SSU rRNA". It matches the Rfam family "Bacterial small subunit ribosomal RNA", at positions 61 to 776 of the family's 1533-position model. The record is from RNAcentral. Lineage: Bacteria; Bacillati; Bacillota; Bacilli.
GUAGAACGCUGAAGCUUGGUGCUUGCACCGAGCGGAUGAGUUGCGAACGGGUGAGUAACGCGUAGGUAACCUGCCUCUUAGCGGGGGAUAACUAUUGGAAACGAUAGCUAAUACCGCAUAAAAGUCGACAUUGCAUGAUGUUGACUUGAAAGGUGCAAUUGCAUCACUAAGAGAUGGACCUGCGUUGUAUUAGCUAGUUGGUGAGGUAACGGCUCACCAAGGCGACGAUACAUAGCCGACCUGAGAGGGUGAUCGGCCACACUGGGACUGAGACACGGCCCAGACUCCUACGGGAGGCAGCAGUAGGGAAUCUUCGGCAAUGGGGGCAACCCUGACCGAGCAACGCCGCGUGAGUGAAGAAGGUUUUCGGAUCGUAAAGCUCUGUUGUAAGAGAAGAACGAGUGUGAGAGUGGAAAGUUCACACUGUGACGGUAACUUACCAGAAAGGGACGGCUAACUACGUGCCAGCAGCCGCGGUAAUACGUAGGUCCCGAGCGUUAUCCGGAUUUAUUGGGCGUAAAGCGAGCGCAGGCGGUUAGAUAAGUCUGAAGUUAAAGGCUGUGGCUUAACCAUAGUACGCUUUGGAAACUGUUUAACUUGAGUGCAGAAGGGGAGAGUGGAAUUCCAUGUGUAGCGGUGAAAUGCGUAGAUAUAUGGAGGAACACCGGUGGCGAAAGCGGCUCUCUGGUCUGUAACUGACGCUGAGGCUCGAAAGCGUGGGGAGCAAACAGG